Molecule: non-coding RNA, 873 nt
Organism: Anolis sagrei ordinatus
Lineage: Eukaryota; Metazoa; Chordata; Lepidosauria; Squamata; Anolidae
Source: RefSeq, a predicted model, not a curated record
AGAGAUAGGGAUAUAUAUUAUUAUAUCCCUAUAUGUAUUAGUCCUGAUAUAAUAAAAGGACUAAUAUUCCUAUAUAUUACAUAGGAUGUAUUAUUAUAUCCCUGUAUGUAUUAGUCGUAUUGUAAUAAUAGGACUAAUAACCCUAUAUAUUAUAUAGGAAUGGAUACACACACAUACAUAUACAUACACCUAUAUAUAUUAAUCUGAUAGAUAUAUACCUCUGUAUCUAUCUAUAUGCAUUUUAUACAGGGAUAUAUAUUAUUAUAUCCCUAUAUGUAUUAGUCCUAUUAUAAUAAUAGAACUAGUAUUCCUAUAUAUUAUUGUUGCACCCUGGACCUAAAGCAACUGAUCACCAUAGCACCGCAUAAGAGUUCAAAGUAUAAGCAAAUGGUUUAUUGCAAAAAGAACACAUAAAAGGUAUAUGGGAAAAGUCAGGUAUAAGGAAAUAAGGUGUAUAAUCCAAAGGGUCAGCAACAGAUGAUAACCAAACAGGAAAUAAAUUCUGUCUCAUAAAACCAAAGGCAAUUAUAUUCUCAGGGCCUGCUUCACUAUAUGAAGUGGUUUCAUUUUCCUGGCCUGUAUCCUUCUCUUGGCCUGUAUCACUAUGAAUCCCAGGAAAACCCACAAUCCCUUCUCACUCCAAGUCAUCAGUGAACUCAUCAGCCCCUUGAGGCUGAACACAGAACUCCUUGCCUUCAAGUUGAUCUGACCCGCAGCAGGGAGUUCCUCAGUUCUCCAUUGCCCCGCCUGGGCCAACCGCAUGCACGUGGGCACAGCAGCAGCUGCAACUCAGAAGCCUUCUCAUUUCUUUGCCUUUUCCCCUUCCUAACAUUGUAACUAAUCCCCCCAAUAAAAAGUAUCAAUUAAUUUUAA